Molecule: ribosomal RNA, 459 nt
Filed under: uncultured bacterium
Lineage: Bacteria
Description: partial 16S ribosomal RNA
Rfam family: Bacterial small subunit ribosomal RNA
Source: RNAcentral
CCUACGGGAGGCAGCAGUGAGGAAUAUUGGUCAAUGGCCGGAAGACUGAACCAGCCAAGCCGCGUGAAGGACGAAGGUGCCAAGCAUUGUAAACUUCUUUUGUCAAGGAACAAAAACAGGCUCGAGAGCCUGACCGAGGGUACUUGAAGAAAAAGCAUCGGCUAACUCCGUGCCAGCAGCCGCGGUAAUACGGAGGAUGCGAGCGUUAUCCGGAUUUAUUGGGUUUAAGGGGUGCGUAGGCGGGCUGUUAAGUCAGCGGUAAAAGCCCGGGGCUCAACCCCGGCGAGCCGUUGAAACUGGCAGUCUCGAGUUGGCGAGAGGUAUGCGGAAUGCGCGGUGUAGCGGUGAAAUGCUUAGAUAUUGCGCAGAACUCCGAUUGCGAAGGCAGCAUACCGGCUGCGAUCUGACGCUGAGGCACGAAAGCGUGGGUAUCGAACAGGAUUAGAUACCCCAGUAGUC